CGGCCGCAAGGUUAAAACUCAAAUGAAUUGACGGGGGCCCGCACAAGCGGUGGAGCAUGUGGUUUAAUUCGAUGCAACGCGAAGAACCUUACCAGGUCUUGACAUCCUCGGAACUAUCCAGAGAUGGAUGGGUGCCUUCGGGAACCGAGAGACAGGUGCUGCAUGGCUGUCGUCAGCUCGUGUCGUGAGAUGUUGGGUUAAGUCCCGUAACGAGCGCAACCCUUGUCCUUAGUUGCCAGCACGUAAUGGUGGGAACUCUAAGGAGACUGCCGGUGACAAACCGGAGGAAGGUGGGGACGACGUCAAGUCAUCAUGGCCCUUACGACCUGGGCUACACACGUGCUACAAUGGAACGCACAGAGGGCAGCAAAAGCGCGAGCUGGAGCCAAUCCCACAAAACGUUUCGUAGUCCGGAUCGGAGUCUGCAACUCGACUCCGUGAAGUCGGAAUCGCUAGUAAUCGUGGAUCAGAAUGCCACGGUGAAUACGUUCCCGGGCCUUGUACACACCGCCCGUCACACCAUGGGAGUGGGUUGCUCCAGAAGUGGUUAGCCUAACCUUCGGGGGGGCGAUCACCACGGAGUGGUUCAUGACUGGGGUGAAGUCGUAACAAGGUA
This 616-nucleotide ribosomal RNA is filed under the name uncultured bacterium. RNAcentral describes it as "bacterial SSU rRNA". It matches the Rfam family "Bacterial small subunit ribosomal RNA", at positions 883 to 1498 of the family's 1533-position model. The record is from RNAcentral.